CAGCAGCCGCGGUAAUACGUAGGUGGCAAGCGUUGUCCGGAAUUAUUGGGCGUAAAGCGCGCGCAGGCGGUUUCUUAAGUCUGAUGUGAAAGCCCCCGGCUCAACCGGGGAGGGUCAUUGGAAACUGGGAAACUUGAGUGCAGAAGAGGAGAGUGGAAUUCCACGUGUAGCGGUGAAAUGCGUAGAGAUGUGGAGGAACACCAGUGGCGAAGGCGACUCUCUGGUCUGUAACUGACGCUGAGGAGCGAAAGCGUGGGGAGCGAACAGGAUUAGAUACCCCGGUAGUCCCUGUCUCUUAUAC
Molecule: ribosomal RNA, 301 nt
Filed under: uncultured bacterium
Lineage: Bacteria
Description: partial 16S ribosomal RNA
Rfam family: Bacterial small subunit ribosomal RNA
Source: RNAcentral